AGGGGUGUUAAAGAGCUGUCUGGAUUUUGCCCUGGACAACCUGCAUUUGGUGGCCCUGCUUGAGCAGGGGGUUGGACCAGAUGACAGAAGUCCUUUCCAACCUUGACCACACUGUGACUUUUCAAAGACAUCCUAGAGGUCAUCUAUGUGCAAAGAGGAUACCUUAACCCUCAGGUUUUCAUGAUAACUAACCAACAUUUCAUAGAAAAAUGUGUGUGUUUCUCAGCUUUCUUCCUUUUGCCAUGAGAAUGGUCAAUAAAGUGUGUGCUAAACCAACUCACAAAUGGCAUUUUAGACGCUGAUGGGAGGAGAUGGAAAGGAGAGAGAAUUUUCCAAACCUGAAAAUAACCCUUGUUUCCAAAGUCACAGGGCUCUGGUCCCGGAUGUCCACACUACAGACUUAUAAGUUUGAUGCCCAGUUAUUCUUGAACAGUUCAAGUAGAUCUGGUGGAAGGAAACUGUGGUUAGCACACAGAGAAUAACUCCUUGCACAGGGUGCACCAUGUCUCACUCUUCCUACCUGAGAAGGUCCUCCAGAAAUAACACCUCAAUAGGCCAUGAAAAGCAGCUCAUGGCACCUCCCUAAAGGACAGAUAUCAUGCAAGGGAGCAGCCUUUAAUGAACAGGAGAUAAGCACUGUAAGAAGCACAGCACUAAGAGGCUGAGACAAGCUCUGGGGACACUUUAUCUCAAUUCCACUACACCCCACUACCCAUG
RNAcentral lists this long non-coding RNA (717 nucleotides) under Parus major (Great Tit). RNAcentral describes it as "lncRNA (ENSPMJG00000009366.1)". The record is from RNAcentral. Lineage: Eukaryota; Metazoa; Chordata; Aves; Passeriformes; Paridae.